Molecule: non-coding RNA, 2232 nt
Organism: Peromyscus maniculatus bairdii (prairie deer mouse)
Lineage: Eukaryota; Metazoa; Chordata; Mammalia; Rodentia; Cricetidae
Source: RefSeq, a predicted model, not a curated record
UGCGCCUCGGGCCGCGGGACUGCUGCUGCUGCUGCUGCCGCCGCCGCUGCCGCCGCCGCCGCCGCCACCGCCUCUACGGCCGCGUCAGAACUGAAGAGAGGAAGGGGAGGAGCCCAGGCGAGCCUAAGCUACCGCCUGAUCUUACCCCUGACCCGAGGGCGGCGCGGAGAGCGAGCUCCGUAGCCGUUCCCUCCGGGGCAGGUGCGGACUGCUCCUCUGGGAACGAGGAGGAGGCCCAGGCCCCAGGGCCGGGCUAGGGCGCGCACCACCCGAAGUGGUGUGAGAAUGAGAUUAGAGCAGCAGCAGAGGUGAAGAGAAACGAAUCCCACAGUUGUGUGGCCGGACCCCAGCACCCCAUGCCUCUGGAAGCAUCACUGGUGGGUAUCUUAGCUCUUUCAACCUUGCUUGGGAAGAUUGGACAUUUUAAAUACACUAUCCACAUAUUUGGGAAACACAGGGCUUUGCCACUGCUGCAGCCACCACAUGCAAACAGUAGAUCAAGGAAAUGUCUACUCUGAUAAAUCAAGGGUUCAUUUUUGUUCAAAGGCAGCAAGAAUAAAUAAAUAAAUAAAUAAAUAAAUAAAUAAAUAAAUAAAUAAAUAAGGGGGAGGAGGAUGCCCCAGAAGUAAGGACAGACUCCACCCUGAUGUACUCCACCUGAAAUCCCAGGAGUGGGAUAUCUCACCCUCCUCACACUGGGUUUGACAGUCUACAAGCAUGAUCCAUUCACCUGCCAUGUUCAAGGAAGACUCACAGAGAAUCAAUAGCCAGACAUGGCUGCAACAUAAUCCUUUUUGUUGACCUCUCUUCCUAAUAGCAGAAAUUACAGAUGUGCAAUAUAGGUUUAGGGGAGCUUUGUGAAGCUGGGCCCCUCAGAGUUUAGUUGUGUGGACUUUGAAUGGAGAGAGUCCAGACAUCAGAGCUCUGCCACUGAGAAGGCUUCCAGGAAAGUGUGUGCCAGGCAGAGUGGUCAGAGGCCUGAGCCGUUUCAUUGCCUAGGGUUCCACUUUAGAACCCCGUCGCUGAGGGACAGAGUGGCACUCUUGUGAGCCCUGAGCCACCUACUUAGGAACAGCAGCUCCACUAAGCUUACUGAAUAAGAUCCAUUCUCUUCCCCUCCCAGCCUGGUAACAGGAGAAAACAGCUGUUACACAGCUGGCUGCUGGAGAGGAGGAACUCGUACAUGUCCAACUCGUUCCAUAUCCCUUCAGUUCUGUAUAUUGCCUAUGAAUCAAGAAGAGAAAUACAUCAGAUUUCCAAAAAUGUAAAUCAGGAUCAAAAACUUAUUUCAGGUAACAGGGUUCUUUUCCUGGCUCAUCACUUUAUCAUAAAGAUCUGCAUACGGUGUUAAGAGUGUGACGAAGGGAUGUCCAUAUAGGUUUCAUAACUUUUCCCUUGAAUGAGCUUGUAUGAGAAACUAAUCAAGGUUUUAUUAUCUCAUGCCAGUGGUUUCUACUGGUUUUGUUGUUGUUGUUUUUUACUUUUUCGAGACAGGGUUUCUCCGUGCUGUUUUGGUGCCUGUCCUGGAUCUCACUCUGUAGACCAAGCUGGCCUCAAACUCACAGAGAUCUGCCUGCCUCCGCCUCCCGAGUACUGGAAUUAAAGGCGUGUGCCACCCGCCUGGCUGGUUUCUACUGUUCUAUCAGUUAAGCUUUUUCAUGAAAUAGACUUUAAACAUAGAAGGCAAUUGUGUGCUGUAAUUAUCAAAGAAACUACCCUGUAAGCAGUCAACCAGGCCAGUCAGUGGAGUUUUGCUAACCUUCCAAAAGCCCUCUAAUGACCUUCCUAAACACAACUCUCCCUCUCCCUUGGAAGUUACUAUUAUUCUGACCUUUGUGGUAAUCAUUUCCUUGCUUUUCUUUAUUGUUUUAUCACAGGUGUUCAUCCCUAAGCAUUACAUUGUUUAGUUUUUCCCUUUCUUGUGAAUGGUACAUAAAUGAGAUAACAUGUAAUCUGUUAUGCUUACCAUAUUUGCUCAACUGUGCUGUAAUCCAUAUGUUGUUCAGGUUGUUCAUAUAGCUAUAAUUCGUCCCCUUUAAUUGCUGCAUAUACAGUGUUUCAUUGUAACAGUUUGUUUAGCCAUUUUGUUGUUGAUGGAAGUCUGGGUUCAGUUUGAGGCUGCUAUAAAUGCUGUUGCAAAGAGUUCCUUAAGUCUGUAUUCCCUCUCAUCUACAUCAGUUUCUGUGUAAUCUGUACUUGAGAGUGUAUAUCAUAAAACAUGAAUAAAUAAUG